RNAcentral lists this ribosomal RNA (492 nucleotides) under uncultured Glomus. RNAcentral describes it as "SSU rRNA". It matches the Rfam family "Eukaryotic small subunit ribosomal RNA", at positions 569 to 1065 of the family's 1831-position model. The record is from RNAcentral. Lineage: Eukaryota; Fungi; Glomeromycota; Glomeromycetes; Glomerales; Glomeraceae.
AGCAGCCGCGGUAAUUCCAGCUCCAAUAGCGUAUAUUAAAGUUGCUGCAGUUAAAAAGCUCGUAGUUGAAUUUCGGGACCAUCAUGUCGGUCGUGCCUCGGUACGUACUGGCAUUGUUGAUUUCUCCUUUCUGAAGAACCUUGAUGUCAUUAAUUUGGUGUCUUGGGGAAUCAGGACCGUUACUUUGAAAAAAUUAGAGUGUUUAAAGCAGGCUCACGCUUGAAUACAUUAGCAUGGAAUAAUGAAAUAGGACGUUUGAUUCUAUUUUGUUGGUUUCUAGGAUCGACGUAAUGAUUAAUAGGGAUAGUUGGGGGCAUUAGUAUUCAAUUGUCAGAGGUGAAAUUCUUGGAUUUAUUGAAGACUAACUACUGCGAAAGCAUUUGCCGAAGGAUGUUUUCAUUAAUCAAGAACGAAAGUUAGGGGAUCGAAGACGAUCAGAUACCGUCGUAGUCUUAACCAUAAACUAUGCCGACUAGGGAUCGGAUGAUGUUA